Molecule: long non-coding RNA, 2735 nt
Filed under: Homo sapiens (human)
Lineage: Eukaryota; Metazoa; Chordata; Mammalia; Primates; Hominidae
Description: HSALNT0289996
Source: RNAcentral
GCUCCUUAGAGCAGCUGUAAGGCGGCAGUAAUAACAAUCAAUUAAUAAACUGUCCAAUAUUUAUGAAUAACCUCCUUUGUGUGGAUGGCUGUGCUAGAGGCUUGAUAAAUAUUUGUUAGUACAUAUUUUUGCAUUUCAAAUAAGAAAGGUUACCACCCCAGAGAGCUGGAACUAAAAAAGACCCGGGAAUUCAUCCAGUACAGCACCCUUAAUCAUAAGGGAAUUUGAGGAUCUUCCCCCAACACAGUACAGCCCAAGAGAGGCUGUGAUCCAGAGACCCCUGGCACAGCAAUUGCUCCUGCCCCCGAGCCUGUGCAGGCUGCCACCUGUGCUCCAAAAGCAGCCUUCAUUGUGGGAGAACUUUCAACCUGGUCUUUCAGGGUUUGUGGAGCGCACUGCCCUGGCUCAUCUCUCUCUUCCAGGACUCCAACAUACUGGCAGCCUUGGAGGGAUCCGUCCUAUUGACACAGAACUCCUCUGUUUUGAUUCUCUCACACCGUGCUGGCGCUGGAUGAAAAGUCCUUUGAAAAGGCUCUCUCCCUUCUGAACACUUCAUCAUCUUCUCAUUUGGAAUCCGGAGAGACUGGCUUUUCCCUCCUUUCUCUCCUUUGUUCUUUCUUUAAUGUGCUGCAGAAAUGCCUUGGGGGAGAGUCUGUGCUCGGGGCCAGCCCUGGAGCAAGGGUUCUCUGCAGAGUGUGCCGGGGGUGCAGGGGUGGCUCUGAGCCUGGCCUCCACAGGAUGGACAUGUUUUCCGCGGGCAGCUGAUUUAAUGGGGGCAGUAGAGGCAGAAAAUUCCAGCAGCCUUUGCAGCAGGAGUGGAGAAGCAUUACAAGAUGCUUGACAGAGGCGGUUGGGGUGCAUUUAUGUCACUGUUUACAUGUCUUCUGGCCUUGGGGUCCGAGGGCUGGCCUCUGAGCCUCCCUGGAGUUGUGUGGCUGGAAGGAGCUCCAGGGCCAGGGAGGUAAAUCUUCCUGCCUCCUGGUACUUUGCAGCAAUUCCAGCCACUGUGCCUCCAGGAUUGGGGCACUCUAUCUUCAAGGCGAGCCCUGGCAGGGUGGAAGGUCUGUGCCAAGUGCACAAGAAGGAACUGCUCAGAGCUGUUUGCAAUGUAUAGAAAUUGGAGAGCCUUGCUUUUCAGCAUUAUUCUUUUAUUCAUAGGCCUGCGUGUGAGAGGCUUGUAAAUGACAUUACCAAUUUUGCAUUAAGCAGGUCUGGCAAGACUGGCUGAGUUUCUACAUUUGGGGCUUCAUGCGGGUGCCUGGACUGGCUGAUGGGCCAAUUGCUUCAUUAGGCAUCUUAAGGAUAUGGCCGUGUCUUGGCUUUUUAAUCUAAAAGUCAUUAAGGGGCUCUGUGUUGGGCAGAGGUUGAUGGGCACUCCCCUCUGUUUCUGUGUCCUUGGCACUAACUGGGAGGGCAGGCCUGGUCCCUGAGCCCCACGCUCACUUCCUCCUGUGCCUUCAGGGCAGGUGCUCACCCAUCUGGGAAAAGGCCUGGGGCAGGCCGACAGUAGGGUUUGUCUCCUCUUCCUUUGGGUCCAGUCUGUUUUCAGCGGGCUGGAGCUGGCUUCUCUGCUCAAACAGAGCAGCACUGGCUGUGGGGAGCGAGGCCCAUUCUGGCCUGAACUGGAAUGUGGGGAAGGUCCACCAGCCCUUGCUUUCUCCCAGCUGCCAGUUCCUCUCCUGCCCCUGAGUGACAACACAAUGGGAGCUUUAAAGACCUGGGUCCUUCAGAUGGGAAGCCAGGAGUGUGCAUCACAAACACAGCCAAUCCCAGGCUGCUCUGUCUGGGGACCGUCAGAGGACACUGCCCUCUUGCCUGGUACAGAAGGAGACAGUGAUUGUUUAGCUGUGGGUAAGGCACAAACUCUGGCAUGUGAUGGAGUCUCUCUCUGUUGCCCAGGCUGGAGUGCAGUGGUGUGAUCUUGGUUCACUGCAACCUCUGACCCAGGUUCAAGCAAUUCUGCUGCCUCAGCUUCCUGAGUAGCUGGGACUACAGAAGGAGUCUCUGAAGUUAGCACCCUUCUAAGAAUCCAAACUCUACAAGCAGAGGUUACCAAGCACAGAGGCGUGGCACCCAAGAUCACACAGGUAACACACACGUGGAGCUCGGGGUUAAAGCCAGGCAGACUGAGACCCGAGGUCACCUCAUGUCACCAUAGGAGGCUCUGCCGAUUGCCCUGGGGGACACACACACCUGCGGCUGCUUCCAACAGCUGUGCCCAACCUCAGAGGAUGAAGACGAUUCACAUUUGAGGCUCUUCAGAAUAAUGUGCCUGGCUCUAAGGCAGCUUUCAAAGAGGACAUUCAGCCUGCUAUGGCUGUGAAGAUAUUCAACCCGAUGUCAUCCACUGUGAGGCAGAGGUUCUGGCAUUUUGAGGACAAAGCAGCCGGGAUUCUGUCACCUCGCUCUGCAUACACCAGCAUUUAAUGCAAGGUGUGAGUGAGGGCAUGUGUGGGUAUACUCAUGCCUGUGUGUUUGGGGGUGCAGGGGCUAGCGAGGUCCUGACAAAAGAGCUUUCUUCUGCAGAUCAUAGAGUGAAACGAUUCCUGCGCCCAAAAGGGAUUUUAAAAACAGCUCGAGAAGCUGAAAGCAAGAUACAACAGACAGUUCCACUCAAUUUGCUGCCUUCAGCCCGGCUGCGUACUGGAAACAUUUGGUCCUGCUGAAGCAUGCUUGUCUGCCUCCGGGGUCAGGGCUGGGUGUUUCAGAAAUGGAAAUGCAAGCUUCUGGCAGCA